CUCUCUCUCUCUCUCUCUCUCAUUACAUCUACCUACAACAAGAACAAUGAUUCUCGAGCCUUUCAUCCAAUCAAUCUUUCAACGAUCAGAGUUUGCAAGCUUGGAGCGGUUGGCGCUAUGAUCUGGAAUCGUCGUGGAGAUUCUGGCGUCAGUGAGCGGUUAGGAUUAUGCUGCAACAAGGAGGAUCGGUUUAGCAUGGGAUUUUGAACAACAGAAGGCAGAAGGCAGGUCUUGACUAAGGUGAGUACUGCGGUUUUAUCCUUGACAAGUUUUUUCUCAACACCACUUGACAGUUUCGUCCUCUUGAGUACUUGUCAUUGCCUCUAGUGACUAUUGUAGAAGUAAAGAAAAGGUGUUCACCUAAAAAAAUGGUCCUUAUUAACCAAUUUUAUAAGACAAAUAUUGACUCGGCUAAGUUUUCAUGGCCCGAUGGAUUGGCCAAGUCAAUGCAAAACUUGGUCGAUUUUUAUAUAGGACUGAUGCAUAGUAUGAAUCAGCGGAG
Long non-coding RNA from Magnolia sinica, 502 nucleotides. RefSeq lists it as uncharacterized. The transcript is spliced from 3 exons. The record is from RefSeq and is a predicted model, not a curated record. NCBI's taxonomy places the organism in Eukaryota, Viridiplantae, Streptophyta, Magnoliopsida, Magnoliales, Magnoliaceae.